AGUCGAAACGGCCUUCGGGCCGUCGUUGUGGUGUGAGAGACCACGACCUGAUGAGACAUCUCACC
RNAcentral lists this non-coding RNA (65 nucleotides) under Gammaproteobacteria bacterium. Lineage: Bacteria; Pseudomonadati; Pseudomonadota; Gammaproteobacteria. The record is from RNAcentral.